CUGAUUGAUGAUACUUUGUAUGUGUUCCCAUCUUUCUAGGCCUCACAUUUAAGAGCUCAGCUUGUUUCACAAACAUACCAUUUCAGACUGAUUGGAUGCCCAAAGACAGCUACAUGUCAUUGUGCUUUCAGGACUGAGACUGAUUGAAGUCAGGAAGAAACCAUCAGGCACAGCAGAACAGGGGAAGAAGAUGCCUAAAUCCCUUGACUGCUGAGAGGAGACAGUUCUUGUACAGCAGUAGUGAGAGAAACUGUGGUGGAGUUGCCUAAUAACUGUGAUCUCUGGUGGCCGUCUUGGUGGUGAAUCUGCAUCCGUUCCAGACCACUCCUCUCUGAAGCCCUGCAYGGGCCUGCUGUAUAGCUAUACGUUCUGUGGGGCACUUUUUCAAACARCAAAUAUCUGACAUAUCCACUACAGAACUUGAAGCGGGGCGAGGGACUGGAGAGGCUGGUGACAGUGC
RNAcentral lists this long non-coding RNA (460 nucleotides) under Dromaius novaehollandiae (emu). RNAcentral describes it as "lncRNA (ENSDNVG00000018834.1)". Lineage: Eukaryota; Metazoa; Chordata; Aves; Casuariiformes; Dromaiidae. The record is from RNAcentral.